This 235-nucleotide ribosomal RNA is filed under the name uncultured Glomus. RNAcentral's name for it is "partial 18S ribosomal RNA". The stretch from base 40 to 235 matches the Rfam family "Eukaryotic small subunit ribosomal RNA", at positions 686 to 884 of the family's 1831-position model. The record is from RNAcentral. Lineage: Eukaryota; Fungi; Glomeromycota; Glomeromycetes; Glomerales; Glomeraceae.
GGGUUAGUAGGUUGGUCAUGCCUCCGGUAUGUACUGGUCUCACUGAUUCCUCCUUCCUGAUGAACCGUAAUGCCAUUAAUUUGGUGUUGCGGGGAAUUUGGACUGUUACUUUGAAAAAAUUAGAGUGUUUAAAGCAGGCAUCCGCUUGAAUACAUUAGCAUGGAAUAACAGAAUAAGACUUGGGUUCUAUUUUGUUGGUUCUUAGAGCUGAAGUAAUGAUUAAUAGGGAUAGUUG